RNAcentral lists this ribosomal RNA (497 nucleotides) under uncultured bacterium. RNAcentral's name for it is "partial 16S ribosomal RNA". It matches the Rfam family "Bacterial small subunit ribosomal RNA", at positions 28 to 507 of the family's 1533-position model. The record is from RNAcentral.
GAUGAACGCUGGCGGCGUGCCUAAUACAUGCAAGUCGAGCGAACAGACGAGGAGCUUGCUCCUCUGACGUUAGCGGCGGACGGGUGAGUAACACGUGGAUAACCUACCUAUAAGACUGGGAUAACUUCGGGAAACCGGAGCUAAUACCGGAUAAAAUAUUGAACCGCAUGGUUCAAUAGUGAAAGACGGUUUUGCUGUCACUUAUAGAUGGAUCCGCGCCGCAUUAGCUAGUUGGUAAGGUAACGGCUUACCAAGGCAACGAUGCGUAGCCGACCUGGGAGGGUGAUCGGCCACACGGGAACUGAGACACGGUCCAGACUCCUACGUGAGGCAGCAGUAGGGAAUCGUCCGCAAUGGGCGAAAGCCUGACGGAGCAACGCCGCGUGAGUGAUGAAGGUCUUCGGAUCGGAAAACUCUGUUAUUAGUGAAGAACAAAUGUGUAAGUAACUAUGCACGUCUUGACGGUACCUAAUCAGAAAGCCACGGCUAACUACGUG